GUUUUCUAAACUCCCAACCCAUGUGAACUUACCUUUUGUUGCCUCGGCAGAAGUUAUAGGUCUUCUUAUAGCUGCUGCCGGUGGACCAUUAAACUCUUGUUAUUUUAUGUAAUCUGAGCGUCUUAUUUUAAUAAGUCAAAACUUUCAACAACGGAUCUCUUGGUUCUGGCAUCGAUGAAGAACGCAGCGAAAUGCGAUAAGUAAUGUGAAUUGCAGAAUUCAGUGAAUCAUCGAAUCUUUGAACGCACAUUGCGCCCAUUAGUAUUCUAGUGGGCAUGCCUGUUCGAGCGUCAUUUCAACCCUUAAGCCUAGCUUAGUGUUGGGAAUCUACUUCUCUUAGGAGUUGUAGUUCCUGAAAUACAACGGCGGAUUUGUAGUAUCCUCUGAGCGUAGUAAUUUUUUUCUCGCUUUUGUUAGGUGCUAUAACUCCCAGCCGCUAAACCCCCAAUUUUUUGUGGUUGACCUCGGAUCAGGUAGGAAUACCCGCUGAACUUAAGCAUAUCAAUAAGCGGAG
This 514-nucleotide ribosomal RNA is filed under the name Pestalotiopsis mangiferae. RNAcentral's name for it is "eukaryotic LSU rRNA". The stretch from base 140 to 293 matches the Rfam family "5.8S ribosomal RNA". Lineage: Eukaryota; Fungi; Ascomycota; Sordariomycetes; Amphisphaeriales; Sporocadaceae. The record is from RNAcentral.